Molecule: ribosomal RNA, 461 nt
Filed under: Rhodococcoides fascians
Lineage: Bacteria; Bacillati; Actinomycetota; Actinomycetes; Mycobacteriales; Nocardiaceae
Description: bacterial SSU rRNA
Rfam family: Bacterial small subunit ribosomal RNA
Source: RNAcentral
CUUAMCAUGCAAGUCGAGCGGUAAGGCCUUUCGGGGUACACGAGCGGCGAACGGGUGAGUAACACGUGGGUGAUCUGCCCUGCACUCUGGGAUAAGCUUGGGAAACUGGGUCUAAUACCGGAUAUGACCGCAUGCUGCAUGGGGUGUGGUGGAAAGAUUUAUCGGUGCAGGAUGGGCCCGCGGCCUAUCAGCUUGUUGGUGGGGUAAUGGCCUACCAAGGCGACGACGGGUAGCCGACCUGAGAGGGUGACCGGCCACACUGGGACUGAGACACGGCCCAGACUCCUACGGGAGGCAGCAGUGGGGAAUAUUGCACAAUGGGCGGAAGCCUGAUGCAGCGACGCCGCGUGAGGGAUGAAGGCCUUCGGGUUGUAAACCUCUUUCAGCAGGGACGAAGCGUGAGUGACGGUACCUGCAGAAGAAGCACCGGCUAACUACGUGCCAGCCGCCGCGGGUAAUAC